This 74-nucleotide transfer RNA is filed under the name Ascosphaera apis ARSEF 7405. Its description in RNAcentral is "tRNA-Lys (TTT) (tRNA-Lys-TTT-2-1)". It matches the Rfam family "tRNA". Rfam says of the family: Transfer RNA (tRNA) molecules are approximately 80 nucleotides in length. Their secondary structure includes four short double-helical elements and three loops (D, anti-codon, and T loops). Further hydrogen bonds mediate the characteristic L-shaped molecular structure. tRNAs have two regions of fundamental functional importance: the anti-codon, which is responsible for specific mRNA codon recognition, and the 3' end, to which the tRNAs corresponding amino acid is attached (by aminoacyl-tRNA synthetases). tRNAs cope with the degeneracy of the genetic code in two manners: having more than one tRNA (with a specific anti-codon) for a particular amino acid; and 'wobble' base-pairing, i.e. permitting non-standard base-pairing at the 3rd anti-codon position. The record is from RNAcentral. Lineage: Eukaryota; Fungi; Ascomycota; Eurotiomycetes; Onygenales; Ascosphaeraceae.
GCCCCGGUAGCUCAGUUGGUCAGAGCGUUCGGCUUUUAACCGAAAUGUCGUGGGUUCGAGCCCCACUCGGGGCG